Molecule: ribosomal RNA, 3794 nt
Filed under: Trachelomonas planctonica
Lineage: Eukaryota; Euglenozoa; Euglenophyceae; Euglenales; Euglenaceae
Description: partial large subunit ribosomal RNA
Rfam family: Eukaryotic large subunit ribosomal RNA
Source: RNAcentral
UUUAGCCAUAUCACUCAGUGGAGGAAAUGCAAGCAACAGCGAUUGCUGCAGUAACGGCGAGUGAAUGGGCAACGCAUGAUCUCUUCCCGAAGUGAAUCCCUACCGCACUGCUCUUGCAGAUGCGUUCGGCUCUCGUGGGUUUCAGCAGAUGCUGUGGGCUGUGGAGUGGAUGGCUGUGCGCUGAUUGAUCAUGCACCAGGAAGUGACCUGGAAUGGUCCACGUUACAGGGAUACUGUCCCAUACUGGUGCUGUGUGCGUGAUCAUAGGCAUGUGGCUGUCUGCAUCCAGGAGUAGAGUGGCUUGGGACUGCAGUUUGAAGUGCAAGGUGUAUCCAUUGCAAGGAAGCAUACUGACAUGGGACCGAUAGCGCACAAGUAGAGUGAUUGAAGGAUGCAAAGGACUUUGCAAAGAGGGUUAAAAGUCCCUGAAGCCUCGGCAGGAACGGCGGAAAGUGGUGCUGUGGUGUCUGGUCUGUGGGACCAUCAGCUGUGCCCCUGGCAUUGGCUGGUGGAUGGCCACCCACGACCAACUGCUUGCUGGACUCCAGCUUGCAGUGAUGUUUGACUAUCCAAGUGACCUUGGGUCAGCCCCUUGCUGGUCACUGAGCCCCUUCCCCACCAGGAUGGGAUGCAAUCGUGGCAGCCUAUGGGUGACACCCUGCCUGUCCGGACCUGAGGUUUGCAGAGAUAUCUCCAGUGAAUCAUGAUGGUGAGGCAACCCACAGUCAAACCCAGUGCUGGAAUGCAUGUUUGCCACAGGUGGACUUCCUCUGUUGAGGCGUGGACCACAUGGUUCCACACUGGUGUCUGAUGCAGCAGUGGUGUAGCCUGAAGAGAAACCAUGGUGAUGAUACACCUGCCCACCCAUGGUGGCAGCAGCGUGUUGGUGCAAGGAUUUGCCAAAUCCUAGUGUUGUCUGCGGACAUCCUAGGUGUGCUGUGCCUGGGCAUGGAUCAGGGGCUGGUGGAUGCAUGGUGACUGCACCACUCUGAUGGUGGUUCCUGUGUGAUCACUGGUCCCCCAGACAGUGCACAGUGCCAAGGCAGCUGAGCUUGGUGCAGCUUGGUGCCGCUCUCUGCCCGUCUUGAAACACGGACCAAGGAGUCUAUGGAGCUUGCAGGUUUGCUGGUGAUUGAGUAAACCACAGGGCGUGGUGAAGGCAAACAUCCCAGAUGGUGCACACCGUUGUGAGAUUGUCUGAUUGGAAGGUGAUGGGUGCCCUCCAAAGCACCACCCAACAGGAGGCUCUCUGUCAACUGGGCAUGUGGAAUCAGCUGUGCCUGCAGGUGGCACUGUGAGCUCUCUCUCUCUGGGCAUGCCUCUGGCAUGAUCAUCAACCCUGAAGGCAGGCUUGCUUGACUCUGUGUGGAUUGCUCUGCAUGGGACACCGGUCCCGAAGUCCAGUGGACAGGGUUCUGAGUGAUUGCAAGGUCCAUGGGACCCGAAAGGUGGUGAACUAUACCGUUCUAUGUCGAAGCCGUGGGAAACUGCGGUGGAGGACAGUCGCUGUUCUGACGUGCAAAUUGUGUAGCCUGAGGGCGGCAUAGGGGUGAAAGGCCAAUCGAGCCACCUAGUAGCUGGUUUCCUUCGAAGUUUCCCUCAGGAUAGCUGGGUUCGAAUGCAACACCACUCCAAGUGGUUACGUCCGGUAAAGCAACGCAUGAGAGGCGCUUGCUGGGAGGCUUUCCUCCUGGACCUAUUCUCGAACUGUGAAUGGGCGUGGCAACACCCCAAAAGGCAUGCUUCUUCACUGGUGCUGGAGUCCGUCUCACCACGGUUCUCCUGGCUUCUGAGCGUGUUUGUGGUCUGGCAACCCUACCACUACCAGAGUUGAUGAUGAUUGGAGCCAACAACCCAUGGUGAUGAUGCUCCCUCUCUCCCUGUGUCCAUCAGUGGUGGGUAUCUCUGUGAUGCCAUCACAACGGUGUGGUGCAUGGGUGUCUGGGUGGAGUCCCUCAGCCAUCAGAUCCAGUGAGAGUCUCUCUGCCUUUGCCUCUGGCAAAUUGAUAUGCUGGUUGCUGUCAUGGUGAACAGACGUGCCUAUGUGGACCAAGAUUGGUAAGCAGUGCUGGUGAUGCGGGGUGCUCCGAGAGUGGACUUACAGAUCCAGAGUGCUGGCUCAUACCCAGAUCCCACAAAGGAUGUUGCUUGCUAGGGAUAGCAGGACGGUGGCCAUGAAGGUUGGAACCCGCUAAGGAAUGUGUAACAACUCACCUGCCGAAGCGUGCAGCUCCGAAAAUGGAUGGAGCCCAAGUCAGUGAAGCUGAAUUUGCCUUACAGUCCACCGCUGCUGUGGCAGCCAAGCAGAGCAUCAGCGUGUAGAAAGGACAUGGGAGACUGCAGCAACAGUUGGGGUUGCCCCUGACUGAAGUGUCUUCUGGAGCAGAUCUUGGUUGUAGUAGCGAAUACUCCAUCGGGUGAAGAGCAGUACAACCCUGCUGUGUGCGGUUGAGGACAGGAGUGGAGCAGGUUUCCGCACCAAACAGCCGUUGAAUGCGGGUCAGCCGACCGUGAGUCAAGUGGUAAUUCACCGAACAACCAAAGCUGCCAUUGCCCAUCGGAUGUAUGGUGUCAGCAGCACCACUGUUGUGCCCCGUGAUGAUGACUGGAGCAGAGGGACAGCAGCAUGCCAGGCAGCAAAGGGCGUUGCACACCGGUGUCAGGGUCAAGCACCCGCACCAAGUAACCAGCAGCAGUGGGCAACCAGCAUCAAGAUGAUGCCUUUGACGCUUGCAUCUCCCCCUCUCUCCACGCACGAGGGCAGCAGCAGCAGAGGGGCUCCCGCACUCACUCUGGUGGUGCACCCUGGCAGGAGUGGCAAACAGGCAAGCAAGUGCAACAUUCUGCUGUGAUGGGCUUGAGGUUCCCUGGUGGUGACACCCUUGUGACUGGAACAAGCAGGCUUAGGGGCAGUGCACCCCCCGAGGAGUUCUCGUUUCCUCCUGAUGCAGGCACAUGUGGGCUAUCGAUUGGCAUGCCACAUGGUGGUGUAUGCCCUCCGCUCAGCAAGGCAGCAUAACAUCUGUGCUGGUGGUCUCAGGAUUGCAUUGUGAACUGGCAGUUGGCCGAGCAGCAGAGCAUAUCACCCAGUGAAUUGCGUUGUGAAGCCAACGGUCAGCAGAAAGGAGCUAUCGGUGGUCACUGGCUCCAAGGAAAGGCCUGUGGGACAACGUGCCUCUAGUCCCUGAUCCUCGUACUGAAUCACCGCAGCCGGUCUCCUCGGCUAGACGCCGCUUGUUGACGGACGAAAUGCAGCUAAGGGAAGUCGGCAAACUGGCCAUGUACCUUUGGAAGAUGUGGUGGCUCCAGAGGUCAAGUCGCAAGGUCCAGCUGUGGACUGUGUGGAGUGGAGGUGGCUGCUGCACGUGGUGGUUCCGGCCAUCGUGUGUGGAUUGGCUGCCUCUGCCAGCACCGUUUCUGUGGCUGGGGGUCAGACUGCCUUCGGGUAGCUCUGCACCCACCCUGGCGUCUAUGAAGUGACUCAUGUGGAACUGUUGCUGUGCAGGGGAAUCUGACUGUUUAAUUGAAACACAGCUUUGUGAUGGGUCCAGCUGGCUGGUCCCAUGAGGUGACUUCUGCCCAGUGCUCUGAUUGUCAAUGCGAAGAGAUUCAGCCAAGCGCGGGUAAACGGCGGGAGUAACUAUGACUCUCUUAAGGUAGCCAAAUGCCUCGUCAACCAAUUAUUGACGCGCAUGAAUGGAUCAACGAGAUUCCUGCUGUCCCUAGUUGCCGUCUGGUGAACCAACAGCCAAGGGAACGGGCUUGGAUGUGUCAGCGGGGAAAGAAGAGCCCUG